RNAcentral lists this ribosomal RNA (35 nucleotides) under Cladonia rei. RNAcentral describes it as "partial 28S ribosomal RNA". The record is from RNAcentral. Lineage: Eukaryota; Fungi; Ascomycota; Lecanoromycetes; Lecanorales; Cladoniaceae.
AGUAGGGAUACCCGCUGAACUUAAGCAUAUCAUAA